GAUUUAUUUAAAAAGCUCACUUUACCUGAUGUGAUGCAAAAGUUGAAUAGAUGUUUAAUUUCUUUCACAGUUAAGCUCUAAUAUGACAUGCCUAAAGUGGCACAGAAUAAGUACGGUGAUGAAAAUAAUCUCAGUUUCUUCGUUGAGUCUGGUGUCUGUCAGGAGGUUUCUAGGGGCAUCUCAUCAUUAUUUAAGUUAAACUCAAUUAUUCAGAAAUGCCCUGUGGCCUAGCAGCAGCAGAGCAUAGCAGCAAGUGCUUACUAAACUGCUUAGUACUGUCUGAGGAGCUUUGAUUUCCAACUUUCAAGGGGAAAUAUUCAAGGCAUCCACAGAGGAACCGGGCACCACAUUAACUAUGCACAGUGCAUGUGAAACCUGCUGUUAAUGGGCACACAGAUAUUACGUUUAACUCUGCAAGUAUUUCCAAAAGGAAUCAACAGGCUGCAUUUAGACUAUAUACAGGAGACUGUUCCUAAAUUCCUCUUCUUCUAAGUUAUUCUCUUUCCCUUUUAAAUACUUUCACAUCCACUUUCAGUACAGGUAGCUUAAUUUCUGUCACGU
RNAcentral lists this long non-coding RNA (561 nucleotides) under Bos taurus (domestic cattle). RNAcentral describes it as "long non-coding RNA NONBTAT019362". Lineage: Eukaryota; Metazoa; Chordata; Mammalia; Artiodactyla; Bovidae. The record is from RNAcentral.